GGCUGGUACUACAGCACUCGGACAUCAAUGGAAGCCGAGAAAGCUAAUGGGAACAGAGAGAAGAAAAUGAGCAGAAAAGAGAUGCUGGAAAAGAAGAAACUGGUGGAGGAGAUAAUCAAAGCUGCUUCUUCUGAGAAAGACCAUCUCUCGUGUUUUCCGACAUUUCGCCAAUGCCACAGAAACGGUCUGUCUGUAUACUUGGAGUCCGGACGUGGGAAUAAGCUUUCUUCUCAACUGAAGCAAUAUAUCCAAUGCCUUUUCAAGGAGAAUAUGAAGGGACCAUAUGGAUCAGAGUGGCCAUCUGAAGAGAAGGUCAAGCGCAGGGAAAUGAUUGCUCCAGAAGCACGCUACAUAUUUGUAUAUGAGAUUCCAACUGCUGAUGACAAGGAUAGGGAUACAGCUAAUAGGAUCGAUGACAAGGGUCCAAUUAUUGGAUUUGUGCACUAUCGCUUCCUCAUAGAAGAAGAGAUACCUGUUCUUUAUGUGUACGAAUUGCAGCUUGAGCAACGUGUUCAGGGAAAGGGCCUAGGGGAUUACUUGAUGCAACUAAUUGAGCUUAUUGGUCACAAGAGUAAAAUGGGUGCUGUGGUUUUGACAGUUCAAAAGGCAAACAUUUUAGCUAUGAAGUUUUACACAAGUAAACUUAGGUAUAAAGUGUCUGCUAUUUCGCCAUCCAGAGUGUAUCCAGGGUUAGGACUGCAGACAAAUUAUGAGAUUCUCUGUAAAACAUUUGGUUACGAAGCUAAAGCAAUGCUGGAGGGAAGCGGUACAAAUGAGGAAAACUGAUUAUUGGACAAGCUUGUGUAGCCUUGCAAGUUGUGCUCAUUCUAGAGACUGUAACAGACCCCUCAGCUAGUAAAAGGUUGGUGCAAACUUGAUUUCUUCCUCAUGCCACCCUUCGAAGACGUGGCCUUCAGUUAACUCACUCUUCAGCUUUAUUUCAAGGUUUUAAAUUUCAACUUUAGAGUUAUGCAUUGCGGCUUAAAAGGAUAUAUUUUUAGGAUCCUUAAGUUCAUUUUGGAAGUUGUGGCAACCCUUUGAUAUUUACCUGGUCAUUUUGUAGCAAGAUGCUCCACUGUCCAUCAUUGACCAAGGAUCUUGUUGUAGCCUCUGGCAGGUAUAUCCUGUAAUUCAAGUCCCCAAGCCAAAUCACCCUGCUGUGUAUGAGAACCAGAUAUUUGUAGUUAGAUAUUUCUAUGGGGCACGGACAACUGUUAGCCUUUGAUAUCUUUUCAAGGAAAUGCACCCUUUUAAAUAAAAUUCUAAAAGUUACACCCCCUCUUUGUUUAAGCUAUAGUAGAAUUAAAAAAAAAAAAGAAAAAAGAAAAAAAAGAAGCAUGAGAUAAAUACAAUAUAUAAUCUCACUUUGAAUUGAAGGAAAUAAUAAAAAAGCUGUUUCAUUUCUAGCCUACUAUCCUGAAAAAAAAAAUGUUUAAGGAGAUCAAGUUGUACGGAUGGAGUAAUUUUAAAUAUCACUGAUGUUUUGGAUUUUAAAAAUUGUACCACGAGUUGGAGAUUACAUACUCAUGGUCUACAAUUUUCCUUGGCAAAGCCUGUGAAGGUCCAGAAGGAAACCGGGUGCGUGAUAGUAUUUGGUUUGCAUCUGUAUUUCUGUGUUUCUCAUCUCCUUUGUUUCCUCCUGACGCCAAAUGACUACAGACAAAGCAGAAGGUUGUUUCAUGCAACCGGAAUCUAACUGAUACUGAACCCUGUAAUCAUUAGUGGAAAUCAGUUAAACAAUAAUAAUUAAAAGAAAAAGAAGCAAAUCUAGAUUUUUUAAACUUUAUAAUCUAUACUUUAUUGGAUGUCCUUAUUUGUGCAUACUUUAUGCCAUAUUGCUAUUGGACAGUCAAUGUAGGAUUCAUCACUAGGAAUGAAUAAACUUCUAGAAAUGUUAGAUAAAGUUUUCUCUUAUAUGUUUGCCUCACUUUUUUUAAUUUCAUAUUUUCAAUAUACAGAGUAAAUAUUUCAGCUGAAUUGACUUGGACAUAGGUGGAGACUAUGCCUGAUUAGCGAUUACUGUUUAUUGAGAGUAUGCCUGAAAAUUUAUCUGUCUAGUUUUAUUUGUUACUCUCUAAUUGUUGGUACCUUGUUUCUGAUGCGUCCAAAUAUACCACAGCCUACACAUGAGACAUCUAUAUGGUUGAUAUAGUGGUGGAUUUGAGUUCUUGCCCAGAUAGUAACAAAAACGCCCACCAUCUGUUUGCUUGCUAUGCAUUCAAAAGCUGCUGCUGCUGAGUUAAAGUAGGCAUCUCUGUGGAGAGGGCAAACCUUUUGACACUCUCCUGCUUCUGCCUUCUGUAUUGUGAUGGUACUGCUGGCUCUCUUGUUGAGUGCCGAUCUUAUCAGAGAAUUCCAUUUAUAUGAUACACUUGAAUUCUCUGAAACUAUUAUGCUUCCAGCAUUCAGGGGCACGAUUUCUUGAAACCUGAUAGUAAUGUGUUGUUGGAUUUAGCAUUUGUUAUAUAUCAAACUCAUUGAUCUAGGUUGUUUGGUUGAGUGGAAUGGUUUUCCAUUGACUUUUGAGUCGAUAAUAUAAUUAGUGUUUAAAUGUUUGUAGAAGUUGAAGAAUACCCGAGAACAUAGAUAUCAGCUGUGUUCUUCUGAAUGUUGAGCAGAUCUCCCAUGUCAAAGUCAUCUGGCGGUUCAAUUCCCCCCACAUUCCAUGAGCUCACAAACAAACUUCAAAAAAAAAAAAGAAAAGAAAGAUUGAUCAAGAACCGAUGUGGAGUGAAUGAAUGUAAGGAAGCAGAACCGCUUACUCAAAACUCUGGGUUUCAGAUGAAUCGUCGGACGCAAUAACAAUGCUUUCAUCCGGCCUCUUGAGGAUAGUUUUAGCUGGUAAAGUACCCCACAUGACCUUGAAGCUAAUUACUAUAAGAUAGUCAAAAGGAAGAAAGGGAGGGAGGAAAGAGUUUACUUCAUCCUGUGGUUGGUAGGGGAAGUUAAAUAGUUGAGAAAAAGGAAGCUGAGCAAGAACAGAACAAGUUGUGAGGGAAGCCGCAGAUGUCAACUAUAAACGUGCCUUUGGUGUACAACAUGCGGUGUUGGGCAAGGGCACAGAGAAUUCUCCUCAGAGGGUUUGUCCCAUCGGUUCUCCAUCUAUUAGCCAUCUUUGCGAUCGAAUUGGUCUGCAAAUGUGUUCUGCUCCUUAUAAACAUGACAAAUGUUGACCUCCCAAUCCCUCUCCAUAAGCUCUCUACACUUUGCAAUUACAUUUUUCCUUCUUAAAAUAGGUUGGAAUUCUCAACUUAGAUUUUAAGCUACUGGGAUAAGUCGAUUCCACAUUUAUUUAUACACCAAAAGUAGUGAUAUGAGCAAUUGAGGACCUUCGA
Ipomoea triloba (trilobed morning glory) is the source of this 3335-nucleotide RNA transcript. It is a transcript of the gene named N-alpha-acetyltransferase 40, with no coding region annotated. The record is from RefSeq and is a predicted model, not a curated record. NCBI's taxonomy places the organism in Eukaryota, Viridiplantae, Streptophyta, Magnoliopsida, Solanales, Convolvulaceae. The transcript has 10 exons.